AUUGAACGCUGGCGGCAUGCCUAACACAUGCAAGUCGAACGAGUGGCGGACGGGUGAGUAAUGUCUGGGAAACUGCCUGAUGGAGGGGGAUAACUACUGGAAACGGUAGCUAAUACCGCAUACCAUCCGAUGUUCCCAGAUGGGAUUAGCUAGUAGGUGGGGUAACGGCUCACCUGGGCCACGAUCCCUAGCUGGUCUGAGAGGAUGACCAGCCACACUGGAACUGAGACACGGUCCAGACUCCGACGGGAGGCAGCAGUAGGGAAUAUUGCACAAUGGGAGCAAGCCUGAUGCAGCCAUGCAGCGUGUAUGAAGAAGGCCUUCGGAUUGUAAAGUACUUUCAGCGGGGAGGCGUUACCCGCAGAAGAAGCACCGGCUAACUCCGUGCCAGCAGCCGCGGUAAUUC
Molecule: ribosomal RNA, 406 nt
Filed under: uncultured bacterium
Lineage: Bacteria
Description: partial 16S ribosomal RNA
Rfam family: Bacterial small subunit ribosomal RNA
Source: RNAcentral